This 909-nucleotide ribosomal RNA is filed under the name Pedobacter ginsengisoli. RNAcentral's name for it is "bacterial SSU rRNA". It matches the Rfam family "Bacterial small subunit ribosomal RNA", at positions 45 to 964 of the family's 1533-position model. The record is from RNAcentral. Lineage: Bacteria; Pseudomonadati; Bacteroidota; Sphingobacteriia; Sphingobacteriales; Sphingobacteriaceae.
AGCUAUACAUGCAGUCGAACGAUACCAUCUGGCUUGCCAGMUGGGAAAGUGGCGCACGGGUGCGUAACGCGUAUGCAACCUACCUUAAUCAGGGGGAUAGCCCGAAGAAAUUCGGAUUAACACCGCAUAAAAACACAGGAUAGCAUUAUCUAAUGUUCAAAUAUUUAUAGGAUUAAGAUGGGCAUGCGUGUCAUUAGCUAGUUGGCGGGGUAACGGCCCACCAAGGCGACGAUGACUAGGGGAUCUGAGAGGAUGACCCCCCACACUGGUACUGAGACACGGACCAGACUCCUACGGGAGGCAGCAGUAAGGAAUAUUGGUCAAUGGAGGGAACUCUGAACCAGCCAUGCCGCGUGCAGGAAGACGGCCCUCUGGGUUGUAAACUGCUUUUAUUCGGGAAUAAACCACAUUACGUGUAAUGUGCUGAAUGUACCGAAGGAAUAAGGAUCGGCUAACUCCGUGCCAGCAGCCGCGGUAAUACGGAGGAUCCAAGCGUUAUCCGGAUUUAUUGGGUUUAAAGGGUGCGUAGGCGGCUUAUUAAGUCAGGGGUGAAAGACGGUGGCUCAACCAUCGCAGUGCCCUUGAUACUGAUGAGCUUGAAUGGACUAGAGGUAGGCGGAAUGUGACAAGUAGCGGUGAAAUGCAUAGAUAUGUCACAGAACACCGAUUGCGAAGGCAGCUUACUAUGGUUUUAUUGACGCUGAGGCACGAAAGCGUGGGGAUCAAACAGGAUUAGAUACCCUGGUAGUCCACGCCCUAAACGAUGAAUACUCGCUGUUAGCGAUAUACAGUUAGCGGCUAAGCGAAAGCGUUAAGUAUUCCACCUGGGGAGUACGCCCGCAGGGUGAAACUCAAAGGAAUUGACGGGGCCCGCACAGCGGAGAGCAUGUGUUAAUCGAUGAUACGCGA